This 67-nucleotide small nuclear RNA is filed under the name Cavia aperea (Brazilian guinea pig). The record is from RNAcentral. Lineage: Eukaryota; Metazoa; Chordata; Mammalia; Rodentia; Caviidae.
CAGAGAGAAGAUUAGCGAGGCCCCGUGCAAGGAUGACAUGCAAAUUCGUGAAGCGUUCCAUAUUUUA